Molecule: transfer RNA, 75 nt
Filed under: Bacteriophage sp.
Also listed under: 2 other names
Description: tRNA-Gln
Rfam family: tRNA
About the family: Transfer RNA (tRNA) molecules are approximately 80 nucleotides in length. Their secondary structure includes four short double-helical elements and three loops (D, anti-codon, and T loops).
Source: RNAcentral
UGGAAUGUAGCUCAGUAGGAAGAGCGGAGAUGCUGAAUUCUUGACGUCAGAGGUUCAAGUCCUCUCAUUCCAUUA